AGAGUUUGAUCAUGGCUCAGAUUGAACGCUGGCGGAAUGCUUUACACAUGCAAGUCGAACGGYAGCACGGSRGCAAYSCUGGUGGMGAGUGGCGAACGGGUGAGUAAUAYAUCGGAACGUGCCCARUCGUGGGGGAUAACGUAGMGAAAKYUACGCUAAUACCGCAUACGAUCUAWGGAUGAAAGCGGGGGAUCGCAAGACCUCGCGCGAUUGGAGCGGCCGAUGGCAGAUUAGGUAGUUGGUGGGGUAAAGGCUCACCAAGCCGACGAUCUGUAGCUGGUCUGAGAGGACGACCAGCCACACUGGGACUGAGACACGGCCCAGACUCCUACGGGAGGCAGCAGUGGGGAAUUUUGGACAAUGGGCGCAAGCCUGAUCCAGCCAUUCCGCGUGCAGGAUGAAGGCCCUCGGGUUGUAAACUGCUUUUGUACGGAACGAAACGGCGCUUUCUAAUACAGRGCGCUAAUGACGGUACCGUAAGAAUAAGCACCGGCUAACUACGUGCCAGCMGCCGCGGUAAUA
RNAcentral lists this ribosomal RNA (522 nucleotides) under bacterium enrichment culture clone Cont97_3131. RNAcentral describes it as "partial 16S ribosomal RNA". It matches the Rfam family "Bacterial small subunit ribosomal RNA", at positions 8 to 525 of the family's 1533-position model. The record is from RNAcentral.